RNAcentral lists this transfer RNA (60 nucleotides) under Neotoma lepida (desert woodrat). It matches the Rfam family "tRNA", at positions 6 to 65 of the family's 71-position model. From Rfam's summary of the family: Transfer RNA (tRNA) molecules are approximately 80 nucleotides in length. Lineage: Eukaryota; Metazoa; Chordata; Mammalia; Rodentia; Cricetidae. The record is from Rfam by way of RNAcentral.
UGUAGCUUAGUGGUAGAGCAUUUGCCUGGCAUGCAAAAGGACCUGGGUUUGACCUCAGCA